AGACAGAAGAUAAUCAUGUGCUUAUAGUAGCUUCUCAAGGCAAGGAGCUCCAGAGACUGGCAGAUAUCAGAAGCCGAAUGUUCCCAGGAAGCUUCCUCCUAGAACUUUCAGAGAAAAGAGCAGCCUUGUCAAGCCUUUGCUCAGGCUUCCAGUCUUCUAAACAGAAAUAUAAUGAGAUUGGCAGUUUUAAGUUACCAACUUUUCAGUAUUUUAUUGCAGUUUUAGGAAACUAAGGCCUUCAAGGGAGUGAUCACCUCAAGCUGCCUCAGGAACAGCCUCUCAAAGGAGCAGAUACCCACUUGGAAUGUAAAACCUGGCAUGAUCUUGAGGCAGCUGUCCUGUUUGACCAGCAUCAUUUGUCGAAGACGAUUUUUCCAAAAGGAGCCUAACAUGUCAUUUCUCUGAGAGGCCUAACCAGCAACUGACUGAGACAGAAACAAUUCUUAUACCCUACCAUUGGACUGAAGUCUGGGACCCCUAUGGCUAAGUUAGGGAAAGGAUAGAAGAAACUGAAAAGGUGGGUGACCCUAUAGAAAGACCAGCAGACUUAACUAACCUGAACUCCUGGGAAAUCCCAGACACGGAGCUACCAACUAGGAAGCAUAUACGAGGUGGUUAGAGGCCCCCAGCACAAGUAUAGUAGAGGACUGCCUGAUCUGGUCUCAGUUGGAGAAGAAAAACCUAAUCCUCAAGAGACUUGAGGCCCCAGGGGUUGGGGAGGUCUGGUGGGGUGGUGCAUCCUCUUGGAGACAGUGGGAGGAAGACUGGGAUGUAAAACUGCAUGAGGGAGGAGAGGCAAUGACUGGAUUGUAAAUAAAAUAAUAAUAAUAAUAUCAAUAAACAAACACAAACAAAAAACAUAGCCUAGUCAUGUGUUCAAAUAAAAAACAUUCAGAAAUUC
RNAcentral lists this long non-coding RNA (901 nucleotides) under Mus musculus (house mouse). RNAcentral describes it as "expressed sequence AA536875". The record is from RNAcentral. Lineage: Eukaryota; Metazoa; Chordata; Mammalia; Rodentia; Muridae.